UACGUAGGGUCCGAGCGUUGUCCGGAAUUAUUGGGCGUAAAGAGCUCGUAGGUGGUUCGGUAAGUCGGAUGUGAAAUCUCCAGGCUCAACCUGGAGGGGUCAUUCGAUACUGCCGUGACUAGAGGUCGGUAGGGGAGUGUGGAAUUCCUGGUGGAGCGGUGAAAUGCGCAGAUAUCAGGAGGAACACCCGUAGCGAAGGCGGCACUCUGGGCCGAUACUGACACUGAGGAGCGAAAGCGUGGGGAGCGAACAGG
This 254-nucleotide ribosomal RNA is filed under the name uncultured bacterium. RNAcentral's name for it is "partial 16S ribosomal RNA". It matches the Rfam family "Bacterial small subunit ribosomal RNA", at positions 524 to 776 of the family's 1533-position model. The record is from RNAcentral.